UCCCCAGCUGUUGUUGGACUACAACUCCCAUCAUGUCUAGUCGGCAGCACCAGUGAUCAGAGAUGAUGGGAGCUGCACUCCAACAACAGCUGGGAA
Molecule: non-coding RNA, 96 nt
Organism: Podarcis lilfordi (Lilford's wall lizard)
Lineage: Eukaryota; Metazoa; Chordata; Lepidosauria; Squamata; Lacertidae
Source: the annotation of a GenBank genome assembly